This 440-nucleotide ribosomal RNA is filed under the name uncultured bacterium. Its description in RNAcentral is "partial 16S ribosomal RNA". It matches the Rfam family "Bacterial small subunit ribosomal RNA", at positions 338 to 795 of the family's 1533-position model. The record is from RNAcentral.
CCUACGGGGGGCAGCAGUGGGGGAUAUUGCACAAUGGGGGGAACCCUGAUGCAGCGACGCCGCGUGAGCGAUGAAGUAUUUCGGUAUGUAAAGCUCUAUCAGCAGGGAAGAAAAUGACGGUACCUGACUAAGAAGCCCCGGCUAACUACGUGCCAGCAGCCGCGGUAAUACGUAGGGGGCAAGCGUUAUCCGGAUUUACUGGGUGGAAAGGGAGCGUAGACGGCAGUGCAAGUCUGAAGUGAAAGGGAAGGGCUCAACCUUUGGACUGCUUUGGAAACUGUGCUGCUGGAGGGUCGGAGAGGCAAGUGGAAUUCCUAGUGUAGCGGUGAAAUGCGUAGAUAUUAGGAGGAACACCAGUGGCGAAGGCGGCUUGCUGGACGAUGACUGACGUUGAGGCUCGAAAGCGUGGGGAGCAAACAGGAUUAGAUACCCUUGUAGUC